This 72-nucleotide transfer RNA is filed under the name Ovis aries (sheep). It matches the Rfam family "tRNA". From Rfam's summary of the family: Transfer RNA (tRNA) molecules are approximately 80 nucleotides in length. Their secondary structure includes four short double-helical elements and three loops (D, anti-codon, and T loops). Lineage: Eukaryota; Metazoa; Chordata; Mammalia; Artiodactyla; Bovidae. The record is from Rfam by way of RNAcentral.
UCCCUGGUGGCUCAGUGGUUGAAGCGUCUGCCCGCAAUGCAGGAGACUUGGGUUCGAUCCCUGGGUUGGGAA